GUCUCAGUUCGGACUGUAGUCUGCAACCCGACUACACGAAGCUGGAAUCGCUAGUAAUCGCGAAUCAGAAUGUCGCGGUGAAUACGUUCCCGGGUCUUGUACACACCGCCCGUCACACCAUGGGAGUCGGGAAUGCCCGAAGCCGGUGACCUAACCGAAAGGAAGGAGCCGUCGAAGGCAGGUCUGAUAACUGGGGUGAAGUCGUAACAAGGUACC
Molecule: ribosomal RNA, 216 nt
Filed under: uncultured bacterium
Lineage: Bacteria
Description: partial 16S ribosomal RNA
Rfam family: Bacterial small subunit ribosomal RNA
Source: RNAcentral